Molecule: ribosomal RNA, 753 nt
Filed under: uncultured bacterium
Lineage: Bacteria
Description: bacterial SSU rRNA
Rfam family: Bacterial small subunit ribosomal RNA
Source: RNAcentral
GACGAACGCUGGCGGCGUGCCUAACACAUGCAAGUCGAGCGAGGGGAGUUUCUUCGGAAACAAACCUAGCGGCGGACGGGUGAGUAACACGUGGGCAACCUGCCUUAUAGUGGGGAAUAGCCUCUCGAAAGGGAGAUUAAUACCGCAUAAUAUUACACUUUCGCAUGAGAGAGUAAUUAAAGGAGCAAUCCGCUAUAAGAUGGGCCCGCGGCGCAUUAGCUAGUUGGUGAGGUAACGGCUCACCAAGGCGACGAUGCGUAGCCGACCUGAGAGGGUGAUCGGCCACAUUGGGACUGAGACACGGCCCAGACUCCUACGGGAGGCAGCAGUGGGGAAUAUUGCACAAUGGGGGAAACCCUGAUGCAGCAACGCCGCGUGAGUGAUGAAGGUCUUCGGAUCGUAAAGCUCUGUCUUCAGGGACGAUAAUGACGGUACCUGAGGAGGAAGCCACGGCUAACUACGUGCCAGCAGCCGCGGUAAUACGUAGGUGGCAAGCGUUGUCCGGAUUUACUGGGCGUAAAGGGAGCGUAGGCGGACUUUUAAGUGAGAUGUGAAAUACCCGAGCUCAACUUGGGGGCUGCAUUUCAAACUGAAAGUCUAGAGUGCAGGAGAGGAGAGUGGAAUUCCUAGUGUAGCGGUGAAAUGCGUAGAGAUUAGGAAGAACACCAGUGGCGAAGGCGACUCUCUGGACUGUAACUGACGCUGAGGCUCGAAAGCGUGGGGAGCAAACAGAAUUAGAUACCCUGGUAGUCC